RNAcentral lists this long non-coding RNA (1369 nucleotides) under Salmo salar (Atlantic salmon). RNAcentral describes it as "lncRNA (ENSSSAG00000119833.1)". The record is from RNAcentral. Lineage: Eukaryota; Metazoa; Chordata; Actinopteri; Salmoniformes; Salmonidae.
GGUCACUGUAUGGGUCAUGUUUAGCUGACAUUAGCUCGUAAAAACAUAUCAAAACACUGUAUGGGUCAUGUCUAGCUAACAGUAGCUAGGUAGAAACAUAUGGGUCACUGUAUGGGUCAUGUUUAGCUAACAGUAGCUAGGUAGAAACAUAUGGGUCACUGUAUGGGUCAUGUUUAGCUAAAAGUAGCUAGGUAGAAACAUAUGGGUCACUGUAUGGGUCAUGUUUAGCUGACAGUAGCUAGGCAGAAACAUAUCAAACACUGUAUGGGUCAUGUUUAGCUAACAGUAGCUAGGUAGAAUCAUAUCAAAACACUGUAUGGGUCAUGUUUAGCUAACAGUAGCUAGGUAGAAACAUAUGGGUCACUGUAUGGGUCAUGUUUAGCUAACAGUCGCCAGGUAGAAACAUAUGGGUCACUGUAUGGGUCAUGUAUAGCUAACAGUAGCUAGGUAGAAACAUAUCAAAACACUGUAUGGGUCAUGUUUAGCUGACAUUAGCAAGGUAGAAACAUAUGGGUCACUGUAUAGGUCAUGUUUAGCUAACAGUAGCUAUGUAGAAACAUAUCAAAACACUGUAUGGGUCAUGUUUAGCUGACAGUAGCUAGGUAGAAACAUAUGGGUCACUGUAUGGGUCAUGUUUAGCUGACAGUAGCUCGGUAGAAACAUAUCAAAACACUGUAUGGGUCAUGUUUAGCUGACAUUAGCUAGGUAGAAAUAUAUGGGUCACUGUAUGGGUCAUGUUUAGCUGACAGUAGCUAGGUAGAAACAUAUCAAACACUGUAUGGGUCAUGUUUAGCUAACAGUAGCUAGGUAGAAACAUAUGGGUCAUGUUUAGCUGACAGUAGCUAGGUAGAAACAUAUGGGUCACUGUAUGGGUCAUGUUUAGCUGACAGUAGCUAGGUUGAAACAUAUGGGUCACUGUAUGGGUCAUGUUUAGCUAACAGUAGCUAGGUAGAAACAUAUGGGUCACUGUAUGGGUCAUGUUUAGCUGACAGUAGCUAGGUAGAAACAUAUCAAACACUGUAUGGGUCAUGUUUAGCUAACAGUAGCUAGGUAGAAUCAUAUCAAAACACUGUAUGGGUCAUGUUUAGCUAACAGUAGCUAGGUGGAAACAUAGGGGUCACUGUAUGGGUCAUGUUUAGCUAACAGUCGCUAGGUAGAAACAUAUGGGUCACUGUAUGGGUCAUGUUUAGCUAACAGUAGCUAUGUAGAAACAUAUCAAAACACUGUAUGGGUCAUGUUUAGCUGACAGUAGCUAGGUAGAAACAUGUGGGUCACUGUAUGGGUCAUGUUUAGCUAACAGUAGCUAGGUAGAAACAUAUCAAAACACUGUAUGGGUCAUGUUUAGCUGACAUUAGCUAGGUAGAAACAU